GACGAACGCUGGCGGCGUGCUUAACACAUGCAAGUCGAACGGAAAGGCCCUGCUUUUGUGGGGUGCUCGAGUGGCGAACGGGUGAGUAACACGUGAGUAACCUGCCCUUGAUCUUGGGAUAACUUCAGGAAACUGGGGCUAAUACCGGAUAGGAGCUCCCGCUGCAUGGUGGGGGUUGGAAAGUUUCGGCGGUUGGGGAUGGACUCGCGGCUUAUCAGCUUGUUGGUGGGGUAGUGGCUUACCAAGGCUUUGACGGGUAGCCGGCCUGGGAGGGUGACCGGCCACAUUGGGCCUGAGAUACGGCCCAGACUCCUACGUGAGGCAGCAGUGGGGAAUAUUGCACAAUGGGCGGAAGCCUGGUGCAGCAACGCCGCGUGCGGGAUGACGGCCUUCGGGUUGUAAACCGCUUUCGCCUGUGACGAAGCGUGAGUGACGGUAAUGGGUAAAGAAGCACCGGCUAACUACGUG
Molecule: ribosomal RNA, 468 nt
Filed under: uncultured bacterium
Lineage: Bacteria
Description: partial 16S ribosomal RNA
Rfam family: Bacterial small subunit ribosomal RNA
Source: RNAcentral